UAGCGUAUAUUAAAGUUGUUGCAGUUAGAACGCUCGUAGUCGGAUUUCGGGGCGUUCCGACCGGUCUGCCGAUGGGUACGCACUGGUCGGCGCGUCCUUCCUUCCGGAGACCGUGCCUACUCUUAACUGAGCGGGGGCGGGAGACGGAUCGUUUACUUUGAAAAAAUCAGAGUGUUUCAAGCAGGCAGCUCGCUCUUGCAUGGAUUAGCAUGGGAUAAUGAAAUAGGACUUUGGUGCUAUUUUGUUGGUUUCGAACACCGAAGUAAUGAUGAGAAGGGACAGUCAGGGGCACUCGUAUUCCGCCGAGAGAGGUGAAAUUCUCAGACCAGCGGAAGACGAACCACUGCGAAAGCAUUUG
This 358-nucleotide ribosomal RNA is filed under the name Haptophyta environmental samples. RNAcentral describes it as "SSU rRNA". It matches the Rfam family "Eukaryotic small subunit ribosomal RNA", at positions 595 to 957 of the family's 1831-position model. Lineage: Eukaryota; Haptophyta. The record is from RNAcentral.